RNAcentral lists this transfer RNA (87 nucleotides) under Pirellulales bacterium. RNAcentral's name for it is "tRNA-Ser". It matches the Rfam family "tRNA". From Rfam's summary of the family: Transfer RNA (tRNA) molecules are approximately 80 nucleotides in length. Their secondary structure includes four short double-helical elements and three loops (D, anti-codon, and T loops). The record is from RNAcentral. Lineage: Bacteria; Pseudomonadati; Planctomycetota; Planctomycetia; Pirellulales.
GGAUGGGUGGCCGAGUGGUCGAAGGCGACAGUCUUGAAAACUGUUGUACCCUUGCGGGUACCGUGGGUUCGAAUCCCUCCCCAUCCG